RNAcentral lists this ribosomal RNA (390 nucleotides) under uncultured bacterium. Its description in RNAcentral is "bacterial SSU rRNA". It matches the Rfam family "Bacterial small subunit ribosomal RNA", at positions 971 to 1425 of the family's 1533-position model. The record is from RNAcentral.
UUACCGGUUUGACAUGACAGAGAUUUUCGCACAGGUGCUGCAUGGCUGUCGUCAGCUCGUGCCGUGAGGUGUUCGGUUAAGUCCGGCAACGAGCGCAACCCCAUCUUAGUUGCUACCAUAUGGGACUCUAGGAGACUGCCUGUGUUAACAGGAGGAAGGCGUGGAUGACGUCAAGUCAGUAUGGCCCUUACGCCGGGCUGCACACGUGCUACAAUGGGAUACAAAGGGCACUGCGAAGUACGCAAUCCCAAAUCUCCCCAGUUCGGAUUGGAGUCUGCAACUCGACUCCAUGAAGUCGGAAUCGCUAGUAAAGGCGAUCAGCACGCGCCUUGAAUACGUUCCCGGGCCUUGUACACACCGCCCGUCACAUCAUGGGAGCUGGUGACCGAA